This is a non-coding RNA of Schistosoma haematobium, 45 nucleotides long. NCBI's taxonomy places the organism in Eukaryota, Metazoa, Platyhelminthes, Trematoda, Strigeidida, Schistosomatidae. The record is from Rfam.
AUCCGGCUGACGAGUCCCAAAUAGGACGAGAUGUGAGUCCUGCAU